AGUGCAUGGGGUGGAUGCCUUGGCGAUGACAGGCGAAGAAAGACGUGGCAGCCUGCGAAAAGCUGCGGGGAGCUGGCAAACGAGCAUUGAUCCGCAGAUAUCUGAAUGGGGAAACCCAACCCGCAAGGGUUACUUUCUGCUGAAUACAUAGGCAGGAUAGAGCGAACCUCCUGAACUGAAACAUCUCAGUAGGGAGAGGAACAGAAAUCAACCGAGAUUCCGAAAGUAGUGGCGAGCGAAAUCGGAGAAGCCGUUACGAUUUAGCCAUCGAGUUAGCCGAACACUCUGGAAAGGGUGGCCGCAGCGGGUGAUAGCCCCGUAGGCGAAAACGACGUGGUGGAACUAAGCGUAAGACAAGUAGGGCGGGACACGAGAAAUCCUGUCUGAAGAUGGGGGGACCAUCCUCCAAGGCUAAAUACUCGUCAUCGACCGAUAGUGAACCAGUACCGUGAGGGAAAGGCGAAAAGAACCCCGGAAGGGGAGUGAAAUAGAGCCUGAAACCGCAUGCAUACAAACAGUGGGAGCCCCUGCUUUAAGGGUCUUUGGUGAGCGAGCAAUAGAAAAACCGAGCAGUCGUAGUGCACACAAGACAGCCCGAAGUAAGGGCGGUGCUACGAAGUAAGGGCGGUGCCAAGGGCGAUUAAAGCAGGGGUGACUGCGUACCUUUUGUAUAAUGGGUCAGCGAGUUACAUUCACUGGCGAGCUUAACCGCAUAGGGUAGGCGAAGGGAAACCGAGUCCGAACAGGGCGAAUAGAGUCGGUGGGUGUAGACCCGAAACCGGAUGAUCUACUCAUGGCCAGGCUGAAGGGUGGGUAACACCACUUGGAGGGCCGAACUCACUACUGUUGAAAAAGUAGGAGAUGAGCUGUGGGUAGGGGUGAAAGGCUAAACAAAUCCGGAAAUAGCUGGUUCUCUCCGAAAGCUAUUGAGGUAGCGCCUCGUGUGUUGACUCUCGGGGGUAGAGCACUGUUAUGGCUAGGGGGGCGUUUAGCUCUACCAAACCAUGGCAAACUCCGAAUACCGAGAAGUUAUAAGCACGGGAGACAGACGGCGGGUGCUAACGUCCGUCGUCAAGAGGGAAACAACCCAGACCGCCAGCUAAGGUCCCUAAGACACAGUUAAGUGGUAAACGAGGUGGGAAGGCAUAGACAGCCAGGAAGUUGGCUUAGAAGCAGCCAUCCUUCAAAGAAAGCGUAAUAGCUCACUGGUCGAGUCGUCCUGCGCGGAAAAUUCAGCGGGGCUCAAACUGUGCACCGAAGCUGCGGGUCGUCUGCGGUCAAACGCAAGACGGCGGUAGGAGAGCGUUCUGUAGGCCUGUGAAGGCGAGGGGGAACCCUUGCUGGAGGUAUCAGAAGUGCGAAUGCUGACAUGAGUAGCGAUAAAGGAGGUGAAAAGCCUCCUCGCCGAAAGCCCAAGGUUUCCUACGCAACGUUCAUCGGCGUAGGGUGAGUCGGCCCCUAAGGCGAGGCCAUAUGGCGUAGUUGAUGGGAAACAGGUCAAUAUUCCUGUACCGAAUCUCAAUGCGAUGGGGGGACGAAGAAGGUUACGUGAGCCGGGGGUUGGAUGUCCCGGUUUAAGCGUGUAGGCGUGCUGCAUAGGCAAAUCCGUGCGGUGUAGCCAAGGCGUGAUGAGGAGUGGGCUUAGUGCCCGCGAACUCACCGAUACCAAGCUUCCAGGAAAAGCCUCUAAGCUUCAGUUGAGAUUUGACCGUACCGUAAACCGACACAGGUGGGCGAGAAGAGAAUUCUCAGGCGCUUGAGAGAACUCAGGAGAAGGAACUCGGCAAAUUGACACCGUAACUUCGGGAGAAGGUGUGCCCCCGGUAGGUGAAGGCGAACAGCCGGAGCUGAAGGGGGUCGCAGAGAAUCGGGAGCCGCGACUGUUUAACAAAAACACAGCACUCUGCCAAGACGACAAGUCGACGUAUAGGGUGUGACGCCUGCCCGGUGCCGGAAGGUUAAGUGAUGGGGUGAGAGCUCUUGAUCGAAGCCCCGGUAAACGGCGGCCGUAACUAUAACGGUCCUAAGGUAGCGAAAUUCCUUGUCGGGUAAGUUCCGACCUGCACGAAUGGCGUAACGAUGGCUCCACUGUCUCCUCCUGAGACUCAGCGAAGUUGAAAUGGUUGUGAUGAUGCAAUCUACCCGCGGCUAGACGGAAAGACCCCGUGCACCUUUACUGUAGCUUUGCAUUGGACUGUGAUGAAAUCUGUGUAGGAUAGCUGGGAGGCGUUGAGAGCGGGCCGCUAGGUUCGCUGGAGCCAACCUUGAAAUACCAGCCUGGUGUCAUUGCGGUUCUAACCUUGCCCCCUGGAUCGGGGGUGGGGACCGUGCAUGGUAGGCAGUUUGACUGGGGCGGUCUCCUCCCAAAGAGUAACGGAGGAGCACGAAGGUUCGCUAGGUACGGUCGGAAAUCGUACGCGCGUCGUGUAAUGGCACAAGCGAGCUUAACUGCGAGACGGACAGGUCGAGCAGGUGCGAAAGCAGGUCAUAGUGAUCCGGUGGUUCUGUAUGGAAGGGCCAUCGCUCAACGGAUAAAAGGUACGCCGGGGAUAACAGGCUGAUGACCCCCAAGAGUUCACAUCGACGGGGUCGUUUGGCACCUCGAUGUCGGCUCAUCACAUCCUGGGGCUGUAGCCGGUCCCAAGGGUAUGGCUGUUCGCCAUUUAAAGUGGUACGUGAGCUGGGUUCAAAACGUCGUGAGACAGUUUGGUCCCUAUCUACCGUGGGCGCUGGAGGUUUGAGGGGGGCUGCUCCUAGUACGAGAGGACCGGAGUGGACGCACCGCUGGUGUACCGGUUGUGAUGCCAAUCGCAUUGCCGGGUAGCUAUGUGCGGAAGAGAUAACCGCUGAAAGCAUCUAAGCGGGAAACUUGCCCCAAGAUGAGACCUCCCGGACCGUAAGGUCCCUGAAGGAUCGCGGAAGACCACCGCGUUGA
RNAcentral lists this ribosomal RNA (2935 nucleotides) under terrestrial metagenome. RNAcentral's name for it is "bacterial LSU rRNA". It matches the Rfam family "Bacterial large subunit ribosomal RNA". The record is from RNAcentral.